GCAGACGCCAGGCCCGGGAGACGGGCCGCUCCCUCCCGCGCUCCUCCCUGCAGCGGAGCUGGGACGCAUCACCCGGCCGAUGCCUGCACGGUGACCUUCUUCAGUAUGAUGAUCAAAUAUGGCUUAAGGCGGCGCCGGCCGCGUGCGUUUCUGUCGCUGUCCUAAUUGCGGUUGUAAAAGGAGAGCAGCUCCGAGCUGGGAGCUUCCCUCCUCCGCGGUGAGAGGCGGACAAAAAUACCCGCAGACUGCCCGGCAAAAGGCAAAACAUCCGCUCCACUUGGGGACGUUCGCUCAGCGGGCGGGAAUCCCACGCACCCGCUUGGAGCUGUGCAGGCACCCCAUCCCCGCCUUCGCUGCACUGCUGGCUGCUGGUGACACGGGCAGAAACGGAACCGGGGCCAGCUGUGACUGUGAGGAGGGACUGGAACACACGCUCAUAGGAUCCACCGUCUCUGCCGACUUGGCUCAGGUAGUGACAGGCGGCCGGACCCCUGGCUGUCACUGGGAGCUAGGUAACUGGAGGCCCAGAGAAGUUUAGUAAAUGCUCAAGGUCACACAGCCCACCGAUGAUGGAGUGAAGUAGGAACCAGACACUAAGAUCCUCAGUGCAGAUUCCGAGCGGCAUUGGAACCGCCCACCAGGAACCGCCCGCCAGGAACCGCCGCCACGCGGAGCCCGCUGUGUCCACAUCACCGCCAGGCGGGCAGCUGGGCUGGCUGUGCCCAGUGUCAGAGGAAGCAGGCCGGGCUCAUGGGGACAAGCAGCCAGACUAAGCUUUGAACAAAGGAAAUUCAUCCUAAAAUGCUAUGGAAGUUUGAAAAUGCAGUUAAGUACAAACACUGCCUCUGCAAUUAUUCCAAGUGUGGAUAUAUUUUUGGGGGGCAUCCUGAUAACUCAUUUUUUACUCCUUUUCAGGUGUAACUGAUUUGAAAUAAUAGGUGAAGCCAAACUAAGCUUUAAACAAAGAACAUUUACCCACUAGACUUUUUAUGGGGUACAUAAGAUAAAGCUUACAGUACUAAUACUGAACAAAACAAUUCUUGAUGUUUGCGAUUCCAUUGCUUCACGUAUCAGCAGUGCCUGGACCAGAACAGUCACCCAUUU
Myotis myotis is the source of this 1104-nucleotide long non-coding RNA. RefSeq lists it as uncharacterized. The record is from RefSeq and is a predicted model, not a curated record. Lineage: Eukaryota; Metazoa; Chordata; Mammalia; Chiroptera; Vespertilionidae. The transcript has 6 exons.